Molecule: small RNA, 127 nt
Filed under: Marmota monax (woodchuck)
Lineage: Eukaryota; Metazoa; Chordata; Mammalia; Rodentia; Sciuridae
Source: RNAcentral
ACUGGGUGUGGAGGUGCACGCCUGUAAUCCCAACUGCUUGGGAGGCUGAGGCAGGAGGAGCACGAGUUUCAGACCAGUGGCAGCCAUUUAAUGAAGCCCUAAGCAAUUUAGUGAAACCCUGUCUCAA